RNAcentral lists this long non-coding RNA (701 nucleotides) under Anas platyrhynchos platyrhynchos (common mallard). RNAcentral's name for it is "lncRNA (ENSAPLG00000022973.1)". The record is from RNAcentral. Lineage: Eukaryota; Metazoa; Chordata; Aves; Anseriformes; Anatidae.
AUUGGCAGGUGCUCUCUCCUUCCUAUCGUAUAAUUCAGGAUCAGCAGAAUUAAAGUUGUUUGGAUAAAUAGCAUAUGUGUAUGGUUAAUCUCUGUUAUUUGCUGGUUUUCAGAGGUCUGAGUUUUAGGAGUGCAGUUGCAGAAAAUACUGUUAGAAGCUGUGAAUAUCCUUGGGCUUUUGGGAAGUAUUAUUCAUCACGGUGAGUCUGAGUAUUUUCACAAGAACAAGAAACUCCUCCCCAAGGGUACAGCCUGAAUUACUAUGCUGGGCAUAUUCUGGACUUCCAUGACAAAAAGUGAAGGUAUUUUCAUUCCCUGAGUUAUAGCUGAAAUCUGUGUGAAGAACAACCUGAUUCUUUUGUAAGGUUCUUGUCUUGCAGGUUUUUUUUUUAAUGCAACCAGGGAAACCAUCUUUGAACUCUCACCUUUCAACAAGUCACAGGCAUGUUCACCUGACCUGCAUCUGGAAAUGGAGUUGCAGCUCUUCAGACAAAUUAAGGAUAUCAAAAUGCCUGACUUCCAGGAAGUUCUGUACCACUAUACUCCCAUAUAUUACUGAUGUGAUGGCGGUCUGAAAAAAUAGGCAAUGACCUAAUUCCUUAGUUAAUAGAAUUUUUCCUAUGGACUUAUCUGGGGUAGGAAUUUUUUUGGGGAGGGAAAUGAAUUAUGCCAAUAAAAGCAGAGUCUUGUCAGUAAUGUUCA